UAGGGAAUCUUCGGCAAUGGGGGGAACCCUGACCGAGCAACGCCGCGUGAGUGAAGAAGGUUUUCGGAUCGUAAAGCUCUGUUGUUAAGGAAGAACGAGUGUGAGAAUGGAAAGUUCAUGCUGUGACGGUACUUAACCAGAAAGGGACGGCUAACUACGUGCCAGCAGCCGCGGUAAUACGUAGGUCCCGAGCGUUGUCCGGAUUUAUUGGGCGUAAAGCGAGCGCAGGCGGUCAAUUAAGUCUGAUGUGAAAGCCCCCGGCUCAACCGGGGAGGGUCAUUGGAAACUGGUUGACUUGAGUGCAGAAGAGGAGAGUGGAAUUCCAUGUGUAGCGGUGAAAUGCGUAGAUAGAUGGGGGAACACCGGUGGCGAAAGCGGCGCUCUGGUCUGUAACUGACGCUGAGGCUCGAAAGCGUGGGGAGCGAACAGG
Molecule: ribosomal RNA, 430 nt
Filed under: Bacteroidota bacterium
Lineage: Bacteria; Pseudomonadati; Bacteroidota
Description: Bacteroidetes bacterium partial 16S ribosomal RNA
Rfam family: Bacterial small subunit ribosomal RNA
Source: RNAcentral